RNAcentral lists this long non-coding RNA (339 nucleotides) under Pongo abelii (Sumatran orangutan). Its description in RNAcentral is "lincRNA". The record is from RNAcentral. Lineage: Eukaryota; Metazoa; Chordata; Mammalia; Primates; Hominidae.
GUAAUUUUAGAAAAUAUUGCCAGAGAGAUUGAAACAAUUCACCACUUCCCCUCCUCCAGCUUCUCCUGGGCAUGCCACAUACACUGUGGGAAGGGGGAAGGCUGACCUAGGACACCUUCAGGUGGAUGCUACAGAACCCACCAGGGCAGAGCCUCAGCUCUCAGCCUCCUGGAAUGAACCAUGAACCCAAAGUAAAGAGCAGAACUCCUUUGACGCCUCCAGCUUCACAGACAAAGGUGAAUCUCCUAAGGCAUUUCUGAAACAUGCAGUUCUGAAGUCCUGCCAGCCACACCAAAGAGCUUUUCGCAAGAAGGCACAGGCCAGGUAGAGGCAGCUGUG